This 61-nucleotide transfer RNA is filed under the name Hirondellea gigas. RNAcentral's name for it is "tRNA-Asp". Lineage: Eukaryota; Metazoa; Arthropoda; Malacostraca; Amphipoda; Lysianassidae. The record is from RNAcentral.
GAAGAUUUUAAUUAAAAUAUAAUAUUAAUUUGUCAAAUUAAAAUUGCUUUUGCAUUUCUUA